This is a long non-coding RNA of Hylaeus anthracinus, 1556 nucleotides long. RefSeq lists it as uncharacterized. The record is from RefSeq and is a predicted model, not a curated record. NCBI's taxonomy places the organism in Eukaryota, Metazoa, Arthropoda, Insecta, Hymenoptera, Colletidae. The transcript is spliced from 2 exons.
AAGUUCAUGUUAUAAUAUUUGCUGAAUAAAAUAAAUUCCUAUUUAGGUUCAAUUUUUAUAGGCACGUUCGCGAAGAUUUUAUUUUGCAUAAAGAUCCGCAGUCUAAUUAUUAAUCUUCGUGUUCAUAGUAGAAAGCGCCGAGGAAAAGAUAACCCUAUUCGUGUUGCUCGAACCAAGAAGAUUACAUUUUCAUAUCGAGUUUUGGUACUGUUAAACACUAUUCGCAAAAUUCACUCACAAGGUGUCCAAGUGAAAUUAGAUUAAGCUCAAGCAGCAAAGAUGACUCAAAAGGGAACAUCCUAACAACUACUGAAGUUAGAUGAGAUUCUUAAGACACGUUCUCGAUGACUUGAUUAACGAAAUAGGACCUAGAUAUUUAGUUCAUCAUACUCUUUUGAAUUAGUGCGCUAGAAAGGAGAUGUCCCUAAUAGUUAAUAAGUAGGAUUGAUUAUAGGUCUUGGUAUUGAAGAGUGAACCUCUAAGAGUACUGUAUUAAAUUCUAGUAAGAAACAACCCCACAAGGAAAUGUUUUUAAUAACGUUUAAGAUUGGAGUUGACUCAAGCUUCAUCUACCUUCCCCGAAUGAAUCGGACAAAGAAAAAAAGGGGUAGUUCUGGCAACAUCAAGUCUCCUGGCUCGUUUUUAAUGGAAAGUAACUAACUUGUUUAAUUAUUUCCAGAUCUAAAAGGUUAUAGGCAUUAUUCUGUCCCAAAAAUGUUUGUGUUGUAUAUUGGAGUAUCUCGCACUAAACGUCUUAUUGUUACAUUUAUAUGUUAGAUAACCUGAUAGUGUUACCUCAAGCUUCACUAUCAAGAAAACCCCAAAACGAAAAAUUCUUAACAACGCUUAAAACUAGAGUUAAAUAAGUCUUCAAGGUCUCAACCUCAAUAAAUCAGACGAAGAGAGGGGUAGUUCUUGCAGCAUCGAGUCCCCUGGCUCGUUUUCGAUGGAAAGUAGUUAACUGGUUCAACUAUCUCCAGACCUAGAAGGUCGUAAGCAUUAUUCAACCCCAAGAGCUCGAUUGCGCGAAACGGAUGGUAUACGAUCUGAAAAGAGAAAGAAGGAAAACCACGCGGAACGGCUAGAAAAAGAAACGAAACGAUUUCAUCGAAUGAGGUCUGGGUGAGUUCAAUGCCUCUCCCUCUCUCUUUUCAUCCGUGGAAAAGACGGCGAUGGUUGCGGUGGUCGGCUACCGAGAGCAACACAUGCAUCGACACCUCCACGAUUACUCAUGUCCGGGCGAGGCGAUCAACGCGAAACAGAAAGCAAUUCGACCUCGGCCGGAACCAAACUCAAGGACCAAUUAUCCAGCUACUGGUAGAUCGUUUUGCGAUCUAGGCGUCACGCGGUGCGGCAAUCGGUAGACAAAAAUUGAAAAACCAACUAGUGGUGUGACAGAAUUGGCCAUUUUCGUUCGAAGACAUUUUCCUUAGGGCGAACUAAAACUGGAAUAGGAAGUGUGAGGGAAUUAUUGUGUUUUGUCCAGUUUUACAAUCUCUAGGAAACAAUAUUAUCAUUUUUGUUAAUAUCACAAUAAAAUAUCAGUAUGAAGCGAA